Non-coding RNA from Phrynosoma platyrhinos (Desert horned lizard), 72 nucleotides. NCBI's taxonomy places the organism in Eukaryota, Metazoa, Chordata, Lepidosauria, Squamata, Phrynosomatidae. The record is from the annotation of a GenBank genome assembly.
GUCAGUGUGGUAUAGUGGUUUGAACAUUGGACUACAACUCUAGAGGUCAGGGUUUGAUCCCCUGCUUGGCCA